This 497-nucleotide ribosomal RNA is filed under the name uncultured bacterium. Its description in RNAcentral is "bacterial SSU rRNA". It matches the Rfam family "Bacterial small subunit ribosomal RNA", at positions 383 to 890 of the family's 1533-position model. The record is from RNAcentral.
CUGAUGAGCAUGCCGCGUGAGUGAAGAAGGCUCUUCGGAUCUGAAGCUCUUUGCCUUGGAAGAAGCCUUGUGGAGAAUCUGCCCUGUAGGUUGACGGUACUUGCAAAAUAAGCCCCGGCUAACUCUGUGCCAGCAGCCGCGGUAAUACGGAGGGUGCAAGCGUUAAUCGGAAUUAUUGGGCGUAAAGGGCGCGUAGGCGGCGAUUUAAGUUUGAUGUGUAAUGCCGGGGCUCAACCCUGGAUCGCACCCAAAACUGGGCUGCUUGGGUGCUGGAAAAGGAGAGCGUAAUUUCCCGGUACCGGUGAAUAUGUAAGAUAUAUGUGAGGAACACCGGUGGCGAAGGCUGCUCUCUUGGCUGUCACUGACAUUCAGGGGUGAGGAAUGGGUAAAUCCGUGGUUAGGCCGCUCUAUACCGAACCGCAUAGUGGUUCGGGUAUCCCCCCCUACGAAUCUCUCACUCGGGCAAUCGUCCUUUCCGUCUGGCAACGACUUCUAUA